CCUACGGGAGGCAGCAGUAGGGAAUAUUGGGCAAUGGGAGAGAGCCUGACCCAGCCAUGCCGCGUGCAGGAUGAAGGCUUUCUGAGUCGUAAACUGCUUUUAUCGGGGAAGAAAAAAGGGGAUGCGUCCUCUACUGACGGUACCCGAUGAAUAAGCACCGGCUAACUCCGUGCCAGCAGCCGCGGUAAU
RNAcentral lists this ribosomal RNA (189 nucleotides) under uncultured bacterium. RNAcentral's name for it is "partial 16S ribosomal RNA". It matches the Rfam family "Bacterial small subunit ribosomal RNA", at positions 338 to 524 of the family's 1533-position model. The record is from RNAcentral.